This 324-nucleotide ribosomal RNA is filed under the name uncultured eukaryote. Its description in RNAcentral is "partial 18S ribosomal RNA". It matches the Rfam family "Eukaryotic small subunit ribosomal RNA", at positions 1470 to 1796 of the family's 1831-position model. The record is from RNAcentral.
CCCUUAGAUGUCCUGGGCUGCACGCGCGCUACACUGAUGUGUCCAGUAAGCACCUAACCUCUUCCGAAAGGAACGGGUAACCUUUGCAAAGCACAUCGUGAUGGGGAUAGAUUAUUGCAAUUAUUAGUCUUGAACGAGGAAUUCCUAGUAAGCACAAGUCAUCAGCUUGUGUUGAUUACGUCCCUGCCCUUUGUACACACCGCCCGUCGCUCUUACCGAUUGAAUGUUCCGGUGAGCUCUUCGGACUGCGCGGUCUGCAGUUUCUGCGUUCCGUGCGGAAAGUUGCGCAAACCUUAACAUUUAGAGGAAGGAGAAGUCGUAACA